UGGGGAAUUUUGGACAAUGGGCGAAAGCCUGAUCCAGCCAUGCCGCGUGCAGGAUGAAGGCCUUCGGGUUGUAAACUGCUUUUGUACGGAACGAAAAGACUCUGGUUAAUACCUGGGGUCCAUGACGGUACCGUAAGAAUAAGCACCGGCUAACUACGUGCCAGCAGCCGCGGUAAUACGUAGGGUGCAAGCGUUAAUCGGAAUUACUGGGCGUAAAGCGUGCGCAGGCGGUUAUAUAAGACAGAUGUGAAAUCCCCGGGCUCAACCUGGGAACUGCAUUUGUGACUGUAUAGCUAGAGUACGGCAGAGGGGGAUGGAAUUCCGCGUGUAGCAGUGAAAUGCGUAGAUAUGCGGAGGAACACCGAUGGCGAAGGCAAUCCCCUGGGCCUGUACUGACGCUCAUGCACGAAAAGCGUGGGGAGCAAACAGGAUUAGAUACCCUGGUAGUCCACGCCCUAAACGAUGUCAACUGGGUUGUUGGGUCUUUCACUGACUCAGUAACGAAGCUAACGCGUGAAGUUGACCGCCUGGGGAGUACGGCCGCAAGGUUGAAACUUAAAUGAAUUGACGGGGUCAUAGCUGUUUCCU
RNAcentral lists this ribosomal RNA (588 nucleotides) under uncultured bacterium. RNAcentral's name for it is "partial 16S ribosomal RNA". It matches the Rfam family "Bacterial small subunit ribosomal RNA", at positions 355 to 1375 of the family's 1533-position model. The record is from RNAcentral.